GUAAAAAGUAGAAUAAUAGAUUUGAAAUAUUUAUUAUAUAGAUUUAAAGAGAUAAUCAUGGAGUAUAAUAAUUAAAUUUAAUAAAUUUAAUAUAACUAUUAAUAGAAUUAGGUUACUAAUAAAUUAAUAACAAUUAAUUUUAAAACCUAAAGGUAAACCUUUAUAUUAAUAAUGUUAUUUUUUAUUAUAUUUAUAAUAAGAAUAAUUAUUAAUAAUAAUAAACUAAGUGAACUGAAACAUCUAAGUAACUUAAGGAUAAGAAAUCAACAGAGAUAUUAUGAGUAUUGGUGAGAGAAAAUAAUAAAGGUCUAAUAAGUAUUAUGUGAAAAAAAUGUAAGAAAAUAGGAUAACAAAUUCUAAGACUAAAUACUAUUAAUAAGUAUAGUAAGUACCGUAAGGGAAAGUAUGAAAAUGAUUAUUUUAUAAGCAAUCAUGAAUAUAUUAUAUUAUAUUAAUGAUGUACCUUUUGUAUAAUGGGUCAGCAAGUAAUUAAUAUUAGUAAAACAAUAAGUUAUAAAUAAAUAGAAUAAUAUAUAUAUAUAAAAAAAUAUAUUAAAAUAUUUAAUUAAUAUUAAUUGACCCGAAAGCAAACGAUCUAACUAUGAUAAGAUGGAUAAACGAUCGAACAGGUUGAUGUUGCAAUAUCAUCUGAUUAAUUGUGGUUAGUAGUGAAAGACAAAUCUGGUUUGCAGAUAGCUGGUUUUCUAUGAAAUAUAUGUAAGUAUAGCCUUUAUAAAUAAUAAUUAUUAUAUAAUAUUAUAUAAAUAUUAUAUAAAGAAUGGUACAGCAAUUAAUAUAUAUUAGGGAACUAUUAAAGUUUUAUUAAUAAUAUUAAAUCUCGAAAUAUUUAAUUAUAUAUAAUAAAGAGUCAGAUUAUGUGCGAUAAGGUAAAUAAUCUAAAGGGAAACAGCCCAGAUUAAGAUAUAAAGUUCCUAAUAAAUAAUAAGUGAAAUAAAUAUUAAAAUAUUAUAAUAUAAUCAGUUAAUGGGUUUGACAAUAACCAUUUUUUAAUGAACAUGUAACAAUGCACUGAUUUAUAAUAAAUAAAAAAAAUAAUAUUUAAAAUCAAAUAUAUAUAUAUUUGUUAAUAGAUAAUAUACGGAUCUUAAUAAUAAGAAUUAUUUAAUUCCUAAUAUGGAAUAUUAUAUUUUUAUAAUAAUAAUAAAAAUAUAAAUACUGAAUAUCUAAAUAUUAUUAUUACUUUUUUUUUUAAUAAUAAUAAUAUGGUAAUAGAACAUUUAAUGAUAAUAUAUAUUAGUUAUUAAUUAAUAUAUGUAUUAAUUAAAUAGAGAAUGCUGACAUGAGUAACGAAAAAAAGGUAUAAACCUUUUCACCUAAAACAUAAGGUUUAACUAUAAAAGUACGGCCCCUAAUUAAAUUAAUAAGAAUAUAAAUAUAUUUAAGAUGGGAUAAUCUAUAUUAAUAAAAAUUUAUCUUAAAAUAUAUAUAUUAUUAAUAAUUAUAUUAAUAAUAUAUAUAAUUAUAUUAUAUAUUUUUUUUAUAUAAUAUAAACUAAUAAAGAUCAGGAAAUAAUUAAUGUAUACCGUAAUGUAGACCGACUCAGGUAUGUAAGUAGAGAAUAUGAAGGUGAAUUAGAUAAUUAAAGGGAAGGAACUCGGCAAAGAUAGCUCAUAAGUUAGUCAAUAAAGAGUAAUAAGAACAAAGUUGUACAACUGUUUACUAAAAACACCGCACUUUGCAGAAACGAUAAGUUUAAGUAUAAGGUGUGAACUCUGCUCCAUGCUUAAUAUAUAAAUAAAAUUAUUUAACGAUAAUUUUAUUAAAUUUAGGUAAAUAGCAGCCUUAUUAUGAGGGUUAUAAUGUAGCGAAAUUCCUUGGCCUAUAAUUGAGGUCCCGCAUGAAUGACGUAAUGAUACAACAACUGUCUCCCCUUUAAGCUAAGUGAAAUUGAAAUCGUAGUGAAGAUGCUAUGUACCUUCAGCAAGACGGAAAGACCCUAUGCAGCUUUACUGUAAUUAGAUAGAUCGAAUUAUUGUUUAUUAUAUUCAGCAUAUUAAGUAAUCCUAUUAUUAGGUAAUCGUUUAGAUAUUAAUGAGAUACUUAUUAUAAUAUAAUGAUAAUUCUAAUCUUAUAAAUAAUUAUUAUUAUUAUUAUUAAUAAUAAUAAUAUGCUUUCAAGCAUAGUGAUAAAACAUAUUUAUAUGAUAAUCACUUUACUUAAUAGAUAUAAUUCUUAAGUAAUAUAUAAUAUAUAUUUUAUAUAUAUUAUAUAUAAUAUAAGAGACAAUCUCUAAUUGGUAGUUUUGAUGGGGCGUCAUUAUCAGCAAAAGUAUCUGAAUAAGUCCAUAAAUAAAUAUAUAAAAUUAUUGAAUAAAAAAAAAAUAAUAUAUAUUAUAUAUAUUAAUUAUAAAUUGAAAUAUGUUUAUAUAAAUUUAUAUUUAUUGAAUAUAUUUUAGUAAUAGAUAAAAAUAUGUACAGUAAAAUUGUAAGGAAAACAAUAAUAACUUUCUUAAAAAAUAAAAAUGGAAAGAAUUAAAUUAAUAUAAUGGUAUAACUGUGCGAUAAUUGUAACACAAACGAGUGAAACAAGUACGUAAGUAUGGCAUAAUGAACAAAUAACACUGAUUGUAAAGGUUAUUGAUAACGAAUAAAAGUUACGCUAGGGAUAACAGGGUAAUAUAGCGAAAGAGUAGAUAUUGUAAGCUAUGUUUGCCACCUCGAUGUCGACUCAACAUUUCCUCUUGGUUGUAAAAGCUAAGAAGGGUUUGACUGUUCGUCAAUUAAAAUGUUACGUGAGUUGGGUUAAAUACGAUGUGAAUCAGUAUGGUUCCUAUCUGCUGAAGGAAAUAUUAUCAAAUUAAAUCUCAUUAUUAGUACGCAAGGACCAUAAUGAAUCAACCCAUGGUGUAUCUAUUGAUAAUAAUAUAAUAUAUUUAAUAAAAAUAAUACUUUAUUAAUAUAUUAUCUAUAUUAGUUUAUAUUUUAAUUAUAUAUUAUCAUAGUAGAUAAGCUAAGUUGAUAAUAAAUAAAUAUUGAAUACAUAUUAAAUAUGAAGUUGUUUUAAUAAGAUAAUUAAUCUGAUAAUUUUAUACUAAAAUUAAUAAUUAUAGGUUUUAUAUAUUAUUUAUAAAUAAAUAUAUUAUAAUAAUAAUAAUUAUUAUUAUUAAUAAAAAAUAUUAAUUAUAAUAUUAAUAAAAUACUAAUUUAUCAGUUAUCUAUAUAAUAUCUAAUCUAUUAUUCUAUAUACU
Molecule: ribosomal RNA, 3208 nt
Filed under: Saccharomyces cerevisiae PE-2
Lineage: Eukaryota; Fungi; Ascomycota; Saccharomycetes; Saccharomycetales; Saccharomycetaceae
Description: 21S ribosomal RNA
Rfam family: Bacterial large subunit ribosomal RNA (bases 183-3053)
Source: RNAcentral